Molecule: ribosomal RNA, 382 nt
Filed under: uncultured bacterium
Lineage: Bacteria
Description: bacterial SSU rRNA
Rfam family: Bacterial small subunit ribosomal RNA
Source: RNAcentral
GAACGCUAGCGGGAUGCCUUACACAUGCAAGUCGAACGGCAGCGCGGACUUCGGUCUGGCGGCGAGUGGCGAACGGGUGAGUAAUAUAUCGGAACGUGCCCAGUAGCGGGGGAUAACUACUCGAAAGAGUAGCUAAUACCGCAUACGCCCUACGGGGGAAAGGGGGGGAUCGCAAGACCUCUCACUAUUGGAGCGGCCGAUAUCGGAUUAGCUAGUUGGUGGGGUAAAGGCCCACCAAGGCGACGAUCCGUAGCUGGUUUGAGAGGACGACCAGCCACACUGGGACUGAGACACGGCCCAGACUCCUACGGGAGGCAGCAGUGGGGAAUUUUGGACAAUGGGGGAAACCCUGAUCCAGCCAUUCCGCGUGUGCGAUGAAGGC